This 85-nucleotide transfer RNA is filed under the name Bacteroidota bacterium. RNAcentral describes it as "tRNA-Leu". It matches the Rfam family "tRNA". From Rfam's summary of the family: Transfer RNA (tRNA) molecules are approximately 80 nucleotides in length. Lineage: Bacteria; Pseudomonadati; Bacteroidota. The record is from RNAcentral.
GCCCAGGUGGUGGAAUUGGUAGACACGCAGGACUUAAAAUCCUGUUGCCAUUUCGGCAGUGCGGGUUCAAGUCCCGCCCCGGGUA